GGUGUAAACCGCGAAUGGCUCAUUACAUCAGUUGUGGUUCAUUAGAUCAUAUGUUUAAAUGGAUAACUGUGGCAAAUCUAGAGCUAAUACAUGUUUACAAGCUCUGACUUCUGGAAAGAGCGCUUUUGUUAGAUCAAAACCAAUGGUUUCUUCGGAAAUCAAAACAAUGCUGAGUCUGAAUAAAUUUGCAGAUUGCACGGUCUUCGUACCGGCGACGUAUCUUUCAAGUGUCUGCCCUAUCAACUGGCGAUGGUAGUUUAUGUGCCUACCAUGGUUGUAACGGGUAACGGGGAAUCAGGGUUCGAUUCCGGAGAGAGAGCAUGAGAAACGGCUAUCACAUCCAAGGAAGGCAGCAGGCGCGCAAAUUACCCAAUCCUAGAUCGGGGAGGUAGUGACGAAAAAUAACAAUGCCGCAGUCGAAUAGACUCGGCAAUUGGAAUGAGUACAAUCUAAAUCCUUUAACGAGGAACAAUUGGAGGGCAAGUUCUGGUGCCAGCAGCCGCGGUAAUUCCAGCUCGAAUAGCGUAUAUUAAAGUUGUUGCAGUUAAAAAGCUCGUAGUUGGAUAUCAGGAGAUGAUUCACGGACUUCUUAAUGGAGCAACCGUGUUUUCGCUCCUCUUUGUACCGUUUCAUCGUCGAUGCACUUUAUUGUGUGUCACGUUUGAACGGCCUUUUUACUUUGGAGAAAAUUAGCGUGCUUAACGCAGGCGUUACAGCUUGUAUAAUGUUGCAUGGAA
This 737-nucleotide ribosomal RNA is filed under the name Macracanthorhynchus ingens. Its description in RNAcentral is "SSU rRNA". It matches the Rfam family "Eukaryotic small subunit ribosomal RNA", at positions 79 to 814 of the family's 1831-position model. Lineage: Eukaryota; Metazoa; Acanthocephala; Archiacanthocephala; Oligacanthorhynchida; Oligacanthorhynchidae. The record is from RNAcentral.